GACGAACGCUGGCGGCGUGCUUAACACAUGCAAGUCGAACGGGCCCGCCCCUGUUUUUGGGGGUGGGUUGAGUGGCGAACGGGUGAGUAUCACGUGAGUAACCUGCCCCCCGCUCCUGGAUAACUGCUUGAAAGGGCGGCUAAUACGGGGUGUGCCGGCUGGUCCGCAUGGGCCUGGUCGGGAUAGUUUCAUCUUCGGGUGUUUCGGUGGGGGAUGGGCUCGCGGCCUAUCAGCUUGUUGGUGGGGUGAUGGCCCACCAAGGCGGUGACGGGUAGCCGGCCUGGGAGGGUGGGCGGCCACACUGGGACUGAGACACGGCCCAGACUCCUGCGGGAGGCAGCAGUGGGGGGUAUUGCACAAUGGGCGGAAGCCUGAUGCAGCGACGUCGCGUGAGGGAUGGAGGCCUUCGGGUUGUGAACCUCUUUCUCCGGUGGUGAAGGCCCUGUCCGUUGCGGCGGGGUUGACGGUAGCCGGGUAUGAAGCGCCGGCUAACUACGUG
This 499-nucleotide ribosomal RNA is filed under the name uncultured bacterium. RNAcentral describes it as "partial 16S ribosomal RNA". It matches the Rfam family "Bacterial small subunit ribosomal RNA", at positions 28 to 507 of the family's 1533-position model. The record is from RNAcentral.